ACACGGGGGGCGCAAGCGUUAUUCGGAAUUAUGGGGCGUAAAGGGCGUGUAGGCGGUUUUAUCGGUCAGAUGUGAAAGCCCAGGGCUCAACCCUGGACGUGCAUUUGAAACAGUAAGACUUGAGUACGGUAGAGGAAAGCGGAAUUCCUGGUGUAGAGGUGAAAUUCGUAGAUAUCAGGAGGAACACCGAUGGCGAAGGCAGCUUUCUGGACCGAAACUGACGCUGAUGCGCGAAGGCGUGGGUAGCGAACAGGAUUAGAAACCCCAGUAGUCC
Molecule: ribosomal RNA, 274 nt
Filed under: uncultured bacterium
Lineage: Bacteria
Description: partial 16S ribosomal RNA
Rfam family: Bacterial small subunit ribosomal RNA
Source: RNAcentral